GACUUCUCUUUUUUACUUUCCGUUGGUAAAUUCUGCUUUCCUUGUCCCUUCUCACUGUAUUUCUUCUGCACAUUGUUUCUUCCCUAAGACUGAAGGUGGUAUUCUGUCUUCUUUUAGAUUAAGGAAUUGCAGAAAUCGAGUGUCGAAGAGGAUUUUGGGUCAUUCAUACUCUGGCAUUGUGUUAGUGAAACAUUUUUAUCAAUUAAUUGUGAGUUGAGAAAUUCUUCUUUUUCAGAGUUACUUCAUAAAGGUUUAACAAAGAGGUGCAUGGCUUCCCUUGUCAUCAGUGCUUAAAGUUAGCUUUGUUCUGUUUAACUUUAUGUAUGUCGGAUGAGCCAGUCUUCUGACGAACCACUGCAUAUCUGUGUUGCUGGCUAGUUUUCCUGUAGUUUGUUGUGUCUGUGGUUAUACAUAUGAAAUAAAAUUAUCAGUCCAACUUGAUGGGAAAAAUUCUCUUGUUAAAGUGAACCUUAGCUCAUACAAUAAUCUAUAUAUUCAGAAUUAGCCAUCCAACUCUGCAACAGAUAACUUUUUGAUAUGUUUUGUAUGGUUGCAGGAUGCUUAAACUACAACCCUUACCUCCAAAUAUGUAGAUUAAUCAGUUCAUCGUACUUUGUAUUUUUGAUGUAAAUGAUGGAUAGUCAUACUAAACUAAAAUUAUAUUGGUUUGUCCUAGUUGGAUGGGUAGCCGAAAGAGAGGAGACAUCUGGUCUAAUUAAUGACUACAGUAUCAUAUAGCACCAAAUUGAUGAUAGAAUAUUAACAAUGUCCAUGUGGCAUGAAUCAAUAAUCAAUUAUUAAUUUAUGUUCUGAUAGUCACUGUUAAUUACAAUUUCAGUUUAGCUCGGUGCCUGGUUACUGUUAAAUCAGUGAACAAUCACCAAUAUUUUGGCUUUGGAAUUUGGAAUGUGGAAGUACGCUAUAAAUAAAUGUAAGUUUUCUGAUUAAUUUAAGCUUCUUGCAUCAUCAUGUGGAAUGGCUUUGGAUGGUACCAUAUCCACUGGCCUUGGUAAUUUUAGGUAGGAAGAUAAGAGGUUCUUUCAUGGGCUCCAUGAUCAAAGCCAUAAUUUAGUAGUCAAAUCCCAGAAAUUAAUACUCAAGAAUGUAGCAACAUAAACUGGAAGGGUCCCAUGAAAAUGCACUGUAUAAGGGAUUUCAGUUAGAUGGAUGAUUAUCUCCAUUAACAUUUUCUCUGCCUGUUAGGAUCUUUUAGGGAUUGAAGAUAAGAGGUUCAUAUUGCCUUUUAUUUUAUUUAACUAUAGUGAAAAAUUAGGUUUCACGUGUCAUAUACUCAUAUGGCAAUCUUGACUUUGCUAUUCAAAGCAAGAAUUUAGGUUCUGUGACUGCAUUGUUUUUUGCAUAUGUUAUGUGCUAUGUUGGCUACGUGCACUGUUUAGGCAGUAGCUCAGGCCUUUCUCCCCCUUAUUUCUCAAAGCUUUUCCAUGUCUUAGGACAUGAAACAGAACAGUAUGGUAAAGUAACAUAACGUGCCAGCCAUGAUAUGCAUGAACCUGGCAGGCAGUACUGCCAUCCUUAAUACAAAGGUGUCACACUGGAAUUUGUUAAAGCCAUCAAAUGAAGCUAAUCUUUAUAAGAUGGAUGAACCUUUGCAAUCAGUUUUGGUAAUAGCUUUUGGCUGGAUGUGAUGCAACUUGAGAUUAUGAAGAGGAUGCUGGUAUCCUGAAUUUCAAACCUGAUAAGCCGUAAAUGGAUAUUUUAACUGCCCCUAGGCAUUGGAAAGUUUGUAAAAAAGAAGAGGAGUCAAUAAUGUUGACUCUUGUUGCAAGGCAGGUGACUUUUGUUGGAAAUGUUAGUAUUGUCCAUAGUUGUACUACUGCUGGCUUUGUUUACAAGGAGUUGUUCUACUUGAAUACAAUCUCCAAUUAUCAUUACUUUGAAUGGCUCAGAUGUUUUGGUCAGCAGACAUGUCUUUGUGACCACCUUCAUCGGAGGUAUACAAACUUAGCCUUGUUGUGAUACUAUGAUAUCUUGAGAUGAAUGAGGCACAUAUAUUGCUUGGUCAGCCAUGGUCAUAUGUUCAUACAUUUAGUCAUAGUGGUUGUGCCAAGUUCUGCACAAUCAAGUUCCGUGACACAAUUACAUUAAAUUCAUCUAUGUAGACUUGCAUAAGCAAGCUCAGGUCUAGAUGGUAAAUUUGGAUGACAAUCAUAUCAAAGUUUUCCCCAUAUAAUUGUACAGGAAAGCGCCUGUUCUUAAGAUGAAUCGGGAUAUGAAUCAUUUUAUUUUUCAAGUCCAUGAUAAAAUUUUCUCAAAUCCAGUAGGAGCAUUGUGCGCCUAAGGGCAAAAAGACAGUUGGAGCUUUGUUAUGCUGAAACCUAAAUGUAAAGAAUUCAGAUGAAACAAUUCAGUUUGUGAUGAGCUUCAAAGCAACAAAAAGAAAGUAGAGUACACCUGGGGUAGUGCAGAUGCAGAUAAAUCCAUGAUCUUCUGUAAUUGUCACAACUAGAAAACAGGUUCUGCCAUACAAGUAGUUUUCAAAGAGCUUAUGACAGCCAGGGUGAAGAAAAAGUUCCUGAUACUUGACCACACUUCCAUUUUUGGCUAUGAUCGGGCACUUGUCAGUGAUUUAGUAUGUUUGUUGUUUGAGUUUCAAGUAUUUGUUGGAUAAUUUAAUUUUUCAACUAUGGUUUGGUUUUAUUGCUAAAGUCACGAAUGGCUUCUUAUAUGAAGCUGGGCUCUAGGUUAUAUUGGUGAAAUUUUCAAUAUUGAAGAGCUGAGGAAGGAAAGAUUGAAGCUAUUUCGUAAUAUAUUGAAUAUUGAAGUACAAAGCUUUUCCUUCCUCUUGGAAUAACUUAUGCAUUCCUGUAAAUUAUUGCGAUAUUUUUUUGGGUAAAGUGAAAUUUGGGUUCUUUAAUCCCAUCUUGUCUCUUAAUCUGCGCAUUAUAGGUAAUCUUGAAUAAGAUCUCUGUAGAUUUCCACAAAUUCUGAUUUCAUGGUUAUAAAGUUGUGGACACUUGUCCUUUACCUUGUUUCUUUGAUUGUUCUCAUCAUUUGAAUUUUCUAUCAUCUUUAUGGCCCACCAUGAUUUUCAUUUAUCAUUCCAUCAUUAACUUCCAUGAGAUUUCUUCUAAUUCAAUAUUAGUCUUUCGCAUCCGGGGCUCAACUCAACUAAGCCUUAAUCCCAAACUAGUGGGCAACUGCUUUUUCCUAAGUUAUCUUUGUUGGUUGGUUAAACCAUCGUGCAUCACCGGCCAAUUGCUGCCACCGCUUUCCAUGUCACCAUUGACUGGUGGUGUCCUGCCACCACCACCACCACAACCCUUCAACACCACCAAUUGUCUUCUCUGUUGCAACCAAUCACUACAGCCUGAUGUAGUAACUUGCUCACUCUACAGGGCAUUACUUGGUGCUCGAAAGCUUUUGCAGUAAUGCAGGAAACUAAUAAGUAGUGACCACAGGUAGUUGGGGUUUGAUUGUUUGAAAUGAGAUGUCAUAUGGGAAUAUUGUUAGCUUGUUGGACUUAAAAUAUAUUAUUGGAGAUGACCUUUGUAAGUAGGGGUAACAAUGCGUCACAUGUAGUUCAUGUCAGGUCAAGUAAGGACAGGACCAUGAGAACCUUGACCCAUACUUGACCCAACCUGAAAACGGGUUAAAGCCUCCUGAUCCACACUUGCCCCCGGGUCAUUUGGGUCACCUAUUUGACCAUAACCUAAUCUACUUUGCAAGAGUUAAUCCCUAACAGAUCUAACCUAACCUAUCAAAUACGAUCCCAACAAUUAUUUGUCGACUAAUUUCUAAAAUGAUGAAAACAACUAGUAUUAAGAAAAUGACCAACCACUCAAAAAAUUCUUAUCCAAGAUCAUGACCUAAGAAAAUGAUCAAUUAUUCCUUCAUUGACAUGAGUUGGGUCAAAGCUAUAUGUCCCAUACCUAACUCAUUUAAAGUGCAGGUCAGAAAAUUUGACCCACACUCGACUAGCUCUAUGACUUUUGGUGCCAUAUCAUCCGAAACCAAGUUGUGCAAUAUUCGGUUCGUGACCCAUACAAUAUCUGCCUUACUAUAUUUUAAAAAAAAUUUGCUAUGUAAUAUGAGUUACCUUUUGGAGUUAUGAAGGCAGUCUUUUCCACAUCCACAGGGUUCAUCUUGAUUUGGUUGUGCCUAAAUGUGAGGUUAGGUGUGCAGGAUCACCUGUCUAUUUCGAUGUGCCGAAUUUAGUUGGAUGGUGCGAAUGGUAUUUGAACUAAAUAAAUUCAUAAACCGGGUUGGCUGAUACACUUUAAAACAGUUCUAUGUAUUCCUUUCCUAGUCUUUCUAUGUCACAAGGUUGAAGCCAAGAAAUAUUUGUUUUUCCGAUGUUCCCCCUUGUUAGUUUGCCUCCUAGUCUAAAGGUAAUAUUGCUUUGAACCCCAACAUAUGAGGACUAAGGUCUAAUUGUUCUGGCGUAGUCUAAGUCUCCUAACAGAAUGCUGACUACCGAAGUUGAAGCUGCAACGAUGAUGUUAACUGGCAAUGCAGAUUCCAAAGCCGCUUUGCAUUUGAACUUGCACCAUAGGUAGUUUGCAGCGUGCCCAGCCUGAUAGACAUGCCUAAAAUUGCCCAAUGAUGAGUAGAAAUUUAGCCACCAACGGGGGAGCAGUGGCAGAAGAAGAAGGGAACACAAGGAAAAAGACAACCACUCUCAUCUCUAUUCAUAGAACAGACGUUCAAUCCUGGUGGAACCACCAGAGGUGGCGGUCGUGCCCAUCGAGAAAAAUUUUGACCCACACUCAACCAUAACUAAGGAACCCUUGACCCAAACCUGGUCCAGAUGGGGUUUGGUCGCGUUUUUAUGUUGGGCCAAUCUUUUUUCCACCCCUUUUUGUAAGACAAAUGCCUGCUGUCAUUAUCAAUCUUGCUUGCUUUGGGAAGGACGUAUUCAUUUAGCUAAAGCUUUUCUCUCUCGCUUACUGUCCAAGGCUGAGAGUUAUUUUUUGCACUUUUUGACUUUCUAUAGUUAUUAUUGAACCUUUUCAUUUUCAAGGAGAAUGAAACAGAAUAAAUGAAUAGAAGGGUCAAAGAGAGGGAAAUUUUAGAAGAAUGAAUAUGAAUAGCAGGGUUAAAGUAGGGAUAGAAAUGAAUGAGUGAGAAAUCCAAGAAGAGUGAAUAAGAACAGUGGGGAUAAAGUAGGGAUAGAAAUAAAAGAAGAGUAUGGGUAAGUAAGAGGUGGUUUUACCUAUAAUUUUUCAUGUACCUACAGAUAGGUGAGCAUCACUGACUUAUUUAAUACCUUUAGGAAGACUGGUAUAUCAAAUUGCAUCUCUUUUGUAACAACACAAAUAAUACGAUCUUUAUAUUGAGAUGUAUGUAUGGCUAUUGACACAGCUUAUACAUCCAUUUGAAAAACAUUGGAGGUGAAACAGAACGUGUGUGAAUGGUGGUUGAUCUUACCUUAUUAAAAUUGCAGCACUGCUAACUUUGGUCACUUGAUUGCCCAUCUGAUUGAUGAAACAAUGUAAUAAGCUUAAAGCAGGUGUUAAUAACUCCUGGAUUUAUAUUUAUGUAAUAUCAAUUGAUAUUUGAAACUUACAAAUCUCGAUGAGUAAUAUCAACAGAAUAUGUUGGAUUUUAUUAAUGAAGAAGUUGGUAUUUUCAGUUCAACAAACACUGUUUGUAAGAAUAGCAGUGCUAUAAUAGCAGAAUUUCUGUUUUAUUGCUGUGACAGAUAUGACUUAAGGAAACUAAAGUGAAAGGUUCUCUAAACUCCUUAAUUGCUUCAGCAAUCCACACAUCUACCAGUUUUUGAGAGCUUUCAGCUUGUUGCUAAAAUCUUUCUUUCUUUUUUUUUGUGCAUGUUAAUUUUCUCCCCUGAUCGCCUUAAGGUUCAGUGUUACUGGAAAAAGAAAUGGAUCAAAUCACGUGGAAGUGAUGGUGGCCAGGAUGAAUUGGAUGUGUGAGAGGAAGCUUGUGGUAAAACAGGAUCUUUGUUUGGUUGCCUUGACUGCUGUUAAAUUACUCAAAACAGUUGAUUGAGAUCUAUCUUACAUAAGCAUUAUUAGUUUGUCAUGCUCAGCUUUCCAUACGAGAGCAGGCCUUGGUGCAAUGCAAGGUUGCUCUAUUGUGACUUGGCUAUCAUGAAUUCAGAACAUGAAAAUAACCUCUCAGCACGGGGGGAUGAGGUUUGCAUGCAUAUGACCCUUUCCAGAAGCAUUGGAAUGCUCUUUUAGAUCAGCCUUCCAUAUUCCAUCAGCCAUUUAUCUGGACAUUUAUGUACCUUUGUGUUUUACAUCCGUAUUGUUCUUAUUGUUUGACUAUUUAAAUAAACCUGUUCUGUUUCAUCUUGGCUUCAAGAUGUGUGGAUCACUUUAGGUAUUUCAUGUCUUUUGUGUGUAACACAUUUUGUUGGUCUGCUCAUUAAUAUCUUCAUACAGUAUGUCUGAAAUUAGUUACCUCAUGUCAUUUGUCAUCUCAGCAUAUCUGAAUUUAGUGUAUAGGAUUCAUAACGCACAAGAUAUUUCUGUCCCAGGUAACAGGUUGAAGGUUCUGUCACAGCCGUAAGAAAAGUGGCUAUUCUGAAAAGAUGAUGAACAAGGAACGAAACCAGCUGAUCGCUUAAAUUUUUGACAUCUAGACUGCUAAAUAUCUAAUUCUAAG
RNAcentral lists this long non-coding RNA (6591 nucleotides) under Elaeis guineensis (African oil palm). RNAcentral's name for it is "long non-coding RNA (EGUI_LNC034671)". Lineage: Eukaryota; Viridiplantae; Streptophyta; Magnoliopsida; Arecales; Arecaceae. The record is from RNAcentral.